GUAAAGGCUUACCAAGGCGAUGAUCAGUASMUGGUSUGAGAGGAWGAUCAGCCACACUGGGASUGAGACACGGCCCAGRCUCCUUCGGGAGGCAGCAGUGAGGAAUUUUCCGCAAUGGGCGAAAGCCUGMCGGAGCAAUKCCGCGUGAAGGAUGAAGGCMUAUGGGUUGUAAACUUCUUUUCUCAGAGAAGAAWUUUUGACGGUAUCUGAGGAAUAAGCAUCGGCUAACUCUGUGCCAGCAGCCGCGGUAAGACAGAGGAUGCAAGCGUUAUCCGGAAUGAUUGGGCGUAAAGCGUCYGUAGGUGGCUUAAAAAGUCUUCUGUCAAAGAUCAGGGCUUAACCCUGGGCCGGCAGGAGAAACUCUUAGGCUAGAGUUUGGUAGGGGCAGAGGGAAUUCCCGGUGGAGCGGUGAAAUGCGUAGAGAUCGGGAGGAACACCAAAGGCGAAAGCRCUCUKCUGGGCCMCAWCUGACACUGAGAGACGAAAGCGAGGGGAGCAAAAGGGAUUAGAUACCCCUGUAGUCCUCSCCGUAAACGAUGGAUACUARAUGUUGSAUASGUUAAAGCAUUCAGURUCGUAGCU
This 582-nucleotide ribosomal RNA is filed under the name Microcystis aeruginosa NIES-88. Its description in RNAcentral is "partial 16S ribosomal RNA". The record is from RNAcentral. Lineage: Bacteria; Bacillati; Cyanobacteriota; Cyanophyceae; Chroococcales; Microcystaceae.